RNAcentral lists this ribosomal RNA (2908 nucleotides) under Salmonella enterica subsp. enterica serovar Dublin. Its description in RNAcentral is "23S ribosomal RNA". It matches the Rfam family "Bacterial large subunit ribosomal RNA". RNAcentral also lists the same sequence under 2 other names. Lineage: Bacteria; Pseudomonadati; Pseudomonadota; Gammaproteobacteria; Enterobacterales; Enterobacteriaceae. The record is from RNAcentral.
GGUUAAGCGACUAAGCGUACACGGUGGAUGCCCUGGCAGUCAGAGGCGAUGAAGGGCGUGCUAAUCUGCGAUAAGCGCCGGUAAGGUGAUAUGAACCGUUAUAACCGGCGAUACCCGAAUGGGGAAACCCAGUGUGACUCGUCACACUAUCAUUAACUGAAUCCAUAGGUUAAUGAGGCGAACCGGGGGAACUGAAACAUCUAAGUACCCCGAGGAAAAGAAAUCAACCGAGAUUCCCCCAGUAGCGGCGAGCGAACGGGGAGGAGCCCAGAGCCUGAAUCAGCAUGUGUGUUAGUGGAAGCGUCUGGAAAGGCGCGCGAUACAGGGUGACAGCCCCGUACACAAAAGCGCAUGUGCUGUGAGCUCGAUGAGUAGGGCGGGACACGUGGUAUCCUGUCUGAAUAUGGGGGGACCAUCCUCCAAGGCUAAAUACUCCUGACUGACCGAUAGUGAACCAGUACCGUGAGGGAAAGGCGAAAAGAACCCCGGCGAGGGGAGUGAAAAAGAACCUGAAACCGUGUACGUACAAGCAGUGGGAGCACAGGUUUACCUGUGUGACUGCGUACCUUUUGUAUAAUGGGUCAGCGACUUAUAUUCUGUAGCAAGGUUAACCGAAUAGGGGAGCCGGAGGGAAACCGAGUCUUAAUUGGGCGUUAAGUUGCAGGGUAUAGACCCGAAACCCGGUGAUCUAGCCAUGGGCAGGUUGAAGGUUGGGUAACACUAACUGGAGGACCGAACCGACUAAUGUUGAAAAAUUAGCGGAUGACCUGUGGCUGGGGGUGAAAGGCCAAUCAAACCGGGAGAUAGCUGGUUCUCCCCGAAAGCUAUUUAGGUAGCGCCUCGUGAAUUCAUCUCCGGGGGUAGAGCACUGUUUCGGCUAGGGGGCCAUCCCGGCUUACCAACCCGAUGCAAACUGCGAAUACCGGAGAAUGUUAUCACGGGAGACACACGGCGGGUGCUAACGUCCGUCGUGAAGAGGGAAACAACCCAGACCGCCAGCUAAGGUCCCAAAGUCAUGGUUAAGUGGGAAACGAUGUGGGAAGGCCCAGACAGCCAGGAUGUUGGCUUAGAAGCAGCCAUCAUUUAAAGAAAGCGUAAUAGCUCACUGGUCGAGUCGGCCUGCGCGGAAGAUGUAACGGGGCUAAACCAUGCACCGAAGCUGCGGCAGCGACGCUUAUGCGUUGUUGGGUAGGGGAGCGUUCUGUAAGCCUGCGAAGGUGGCCUGUGAGGGUUGCUGGAGGUAUCAGAAGUGCGAAUGCUGACAUAAGUAACGAUAAAGCGGGUGAAAAGCCCGCUCGCCGGAAGACCAAGGGUUCCUGUCCAACGUUAAUCGGGGCAGGGUGAGUCGACCCCUAAGGCGAGGCCGAAAGGCGUAGUCGAUGGGAAACGGGUUAAUAUUCCCGUACUUGGUGUUACUGCGAAGGGGGGACGGAGAAGGCUAUGUUGGCCGGGCGACGGUUGUCCCGGUUUAAGCGUGUAGGUGUGUGUUCCAGGUAAAUCCGGUUCACUUUAACACUGAGGCGUGAUGACGAGGCACUACGGUGCUGAAGUAACAAAUGCCCUGCUUCCAGGAAAAGCCUCUAAGCAUCAGGUAACAUCAAAUCGUACCCCAAACCGACACAGGUGGUCAGGUAGAGAAUACCAAGGCGCUUGAGAGAACUCGGGUGAAGGAACUAGGCAAAAUGGUGCCGUAACUUCGGGAGAAGGCACGCUGACACGUAGGUGAAGUGAUUUACUCACGGAGCUGAAGUCAGUCGAAGAUACCAGCUGGCUGCAACUGUUUAUUAAAAACACAGCACUGUGCAAACACGAAAGUGGACGUAUACGGUGUGACGCCUGCCCGGUGCCGGAAGGUUAAUUGAUGGGGUCAGCGCAAGCGAAGCUCCUGAUCGAAGCCCCGGUAAACGGCGGCCGUAACUAUAACGGUCCUAAGGUAGCGAAAUUCCUUGUCGGGUAAGUUCCGACCUGCACGAAUGGCGUAAUGAUGGCCAGGCUGUCUCCACCCGAGACUCAGUGAAAUUGAACUCGCUGUGAAGAUGCAGUGUACCCGCGGCAAGACGGAAAGACCCCGUGAACCUUUACUAUAGCUUGACACUGAACAUUGAGCCUUGAUGUGUAGGAUAGGUGGGAGGCUUUGAAGUGUGGACGCCAGUCUGCAUGGAGCCGACCUUGAAAUACCACCCUUUAAUGUUUGAUGUUCUAACGUGGACCCGUUACCCGGGUUGCGGACAGUGUCUGGUGGGUAGUUUGACUGGGGCGGUCUCCUCCUAAAGAGUAACGGAGGAGCACGAAGGUUGGCUAAUCCUGGUCGGACAUCAGGAGGUUAGUGCAAUGGCAUAAGCCAGCUUGACUGCGAGCGUGACGGCGCGAGCAGGUGCGAAAGCAGGUCAUAGUGAUCCGGUGGUUCUGAAUGGAAGGGCCAUCGCUCAACGGAUAAAAGGUACUCCGGGGAUAACAGGCUGAUACCGCCCAAGAGUUCAUAUCGACGGCGGUGUUUGGCACCUCGAUGUCGGCUCAUCACAUCCUGGGGCUGAAGUAGGUCCCAAGGGUAUGGCUGUUCGCCAUUUAAAGUGGUACGCGAGCUGGGUUUAGAACGUCGUGAGACAGUUCGGUCCCUAUCUGCCGUGGGCGCUGGAGAACUGAGGGGGGCUGCUCCUAGUACGAGAGGACCGGAGUGGACGCAUCACUGGUGUUCGGGUUGUCAUGCCAAUGGCACUGCCCGGUAGCUAAAUGCGGAAGAGAUAAGUGCUGAAAGCAUCUAAGCACGAAACUUGCCCCGAGAUGAGUUCUCCCUGAGACUUAAAGUCUCCUGAAGGAACGUUGAAGACGACGACGUUGAUAGGCCGGGUGUGUAAGCGCAGCGAUGCGUUGAGCUAACCGGUACUAAUGAACCGUGAGGCUUAACCCU